GACCAAAAACCUUGUGGUAAAACUGUCUUUUCUGGAUCACUUAAUCGAUAUCUGAUAAAUUGGAUAUUGAAAUGUUUGGGUGCAUUAUUUGAUAUUUAUAUACUUGUGUAUGUCUCUUUCAAUUUCACUAAACCUUUUUGAGAGGGAGAACUUGUAAUUCUGCAAACUGUUCACCGUGAGCCUCUCGGAGUUUGAGGUCGCAUUGGAGCAAUUCAAAACCCAACGGACUGACUUUGAAGAACAAGAAAUAAUUUUCUUAAACCAUGAGAAGAAUUUUCUGAAAUGGCAAAGAAAUUACUUUUCAAAUGAACAGAACUUUAUUUCUGCCACCAGCACACUCAGAGGCAAACCUAAGGUCCAUGGUAAAUGGAAACCUUCAUCUCUUGACUUGUGGAUCGCUACUAAGAAACUCCUAGAGACACGGGAGAUGCUGUAUGAGGCUCAGAAGAGAAGCUAUAGCGAGUAUGAGAGGGGAUUCUUAAUGUACAAGAGAAAGUUUGAGGAGCAUAGAAAAACUCACCGAGAACUGAUGAAGAAGUAUCAAGAGAUGUGGUCCAAGGUUGAAGCAUGAUGAUUAAAGACUGGAGUCCUGCACAAAGCGGUGAUCUCAUUUGUGUAAGGCUUCGGUUUAAAUGCUAUUAACAAACUAUGUGAUUUCAUUAAUUUGUUGUUGGUUUUAGAGCACUUCCAUUUGCUGUUGGCUUUGGAGCACUUUCAUCUGUUGGUGAGCUAAACUCAGUGACUAUCAUAUUUAGUUGCGUUUAGCUCUGAUUGUAAUGUUAUAUGCUAUGUGGAUGGCUAUCUGUGGGUGGACCUGACUAUAUGUAGCAACUUCUUUUCUGAUAUAUGCAUUUUGGGUAUAA
Long non-coding RNA from Argentina anserina (silverweed cinquefoil), 863 nucleotides. RefSeq lists it as uncharacterized. The record is from RefSeq and is a predicted model, not a curated record. The transcript is spliced from 2 exons. NCBI's taxonomy places the organism in Eukaryota, Viridiplantae, Streptophyta, Magnoliopsida, Rosales, Rosaceae.